Molecule: unclassified non-coding RNA, 345 nt
Filed under: soil metagenome
Description: partial contains 5.8S ribosomal RNA, internal transcribed spacer 2, and large subunit ribosomal RNA
Rfam family: 5.8S ribosomal RNA (bases 1-120)
Source: RNAcentral
GAUGAAGAACGCAGCGAAAUGCGAUAAGUAAUGAGAAUUGCAGAAUUCAGUGAAUCAUCGAGUCUUUGAACGCACAUUGCGCCCCCUGGUAUUCCGGGGGGCAUGCCUGUCCGAGCGUCAUUGCUGCCCUCAAGCACGGCUUGUGUGUUGGGCCUCCGUCCUCCUCCCGGGGGACGGGCCCGAAAGGCAGCGGCGGCACCGCGUCCGGUCCUCGAGCGUAUGGGGCUUCGUCACCCGCUCUUGUAGGCCCGGCCGGCGCUUGCCGACACAUCAAUCUUUUUUCCAGGUUGACCUCGGAUCAGGUAGGGAUACCCGCUGAACUUAAGCAUAUCAAUAAGCGGAGGA